UUCCUACGGGUGGCUGCAGUCGAGAAUCUUCGGCAAUGGGCGCAAGCCUGACCGAGCGACGCCGCGUGGAGGACGAAGGCCUUCGGGUUGUAAACUCCUGUCGAGGGGAAAGAAGGCCCCGCAAGGGGCUUGACUGAUCCCUGGAGGAAGCACGGGCUAAGUUCGUGCCAGCAGCCGCGGUAAGACGAACCGUGCGAACGUUAUUCGGAAUCACUGGGCUUAAAGCGCGUGUAGGCGGGACGGCACGUCGGUCGCUGAAAUCCCCCGGCUCAACCGGGGAACGGGCGCCGAUACGACCGCCCUGGAGGGACGUAGGGGGACCUGGAACUUCCGGUGGAGCGGUGAAAUGCGUUGAGAUCGGAAGGAACGCCCGUGGCGAAAGCGAGGUCCUGGACGUUUUCUGACGCUGAGACGCGAAAGCCAGGGGAGCGAACGGGAUUAGAUACCCGUGUAGUCGU
Molecule: ribosomal RNA, 458 nt
Filed under: uncultured Isosphaeraceae bacterium
Lineage: Bacteria; Pseudomonadati; Planctomycetota; Planctomycetia; Isosphaerales; Isosphaeraceae
Description: bacterial SSU rRNA
Rfam family: Bacterial small subunit ribosomal RNA
Source: RNAcentral